UACAGAGGGCUCGAGCGUUAGGCGGGAUCACUGGGCUUAAAGCGUGUGUAGGCGGAUGCCUAAGUACCUUGUGAAAUCCCACAGCUUAACUGUGGAACUGCUUGGUAUACUGGGUGGCUUGAGCCACUCAGGGGCGAGCGGAACAAAUGGUGGAGCGGUGAAAUGCGUAGAUAUCAUUUGGAACGCCAAUGGUGAAAACAGCUCGCUGGGGGUGUGCUGACGCUGAGACACGAAAGCCAGGGGAGCGAACGGG
Molecule: ribosomal RNA, 253 nt
Filed under: uncultured bacterium
Lineage: Bacteria
Description: partial 16S ribosomal RNA
Rfam family: Bacterial small subunit ribosomal RNA
Source: RNAcentral